GAUGAAGAACGCUGCGAAAUGCGAUAAGUAAUGUGAAUUGCAGAAUUCAGUGAAUCAUCGAAUCUUUGAACGCACAUUGCGCCCGCCAGUAUUCUGGCGGGCAUGCCUGUUCGAGCGUCAUUUCAACCAUCAAGCCCCGGGCUUGUGUUGGGGACCUGCGGCUGCCGCAGGCCCUGAAAUGCAGUGGCGGGCUCGCUGUCACUCCGAGCGUAGUAGUUACAUCUCGCUCUGGGCGUGCUGCGGGUUCCGGCCGUUAAAAGCCUUAUUUACCCAAGGUUGACCUCGGAUCAGGUAGGAAGACCCGCUGAACUUAAGCAUAUCAAUAAGCGGAGGA
This 334-nucleotide unclassified non-coding RNA is filed under the name soil metagenome. RNAcentral describes it as "partial contains 5.8S ribosomal RNA, internal transcribed spacer 2, and large subunit ribosomal RNA". The stretch from base 1 to 120 matches the Rfam family "5.8S ribosomal RNA", at positions 35 to 154 of the family's 154-position model. The record is from RNAcentral.